ACGGAAGGCAGCAGUGGGGAAUAUUGCACAAUGGGCGCAAGCCUGAUGCAGCGAUGCCGCGUGAGGGAAGAAGGUUUUCGGAUUGUAAACCUCUGUCAACAGGGACGAAAAUGACGGUACCUGUGAAGGAAGCUCCGGCUAACUACGUGCCAGCAGCCGCGGUAAUACGUAGGGAGCAAGCGUUAUCCGGAAUUACUGGGUGUAAAGGGAGUGUAGGCGGGACUGUAAGUCAGAUGUGAAAUAUGCCGGCGCAACUGGCAGACUGCAUUUGAAACUGCGGUUCUUGAGUGAAGUAGAGGUAAGCGGAAUUCCUAGUGUAGCGGUGAAAUGCGUAGAUAUUAGGAGGAACAUCAGUGGCGAAGGCGGCUUACUGGGCUGUAACUGACGCUGAGGCUCGAAAGCGUGGGGAGCAAACAGGAUUAGAUACCCUGGUA
This 434-nucleotide ribosomal RNA is filed under the name uncultured Ruminococcus sp. RNAcentral's name for it is "partial 16S ribosomal RNA". It matches the Rfam family "Bacterial small subunit ribosomal RNA", at positions 341 to 792 of the family's 1533-position model. The record is from RNAcentral. Lineage: Bacteria; Bacillati; Bacillota; Clostridia; Eubacteriales; Oscillospiraceae.